CAAAUUAGAGCUUGAAAAAGUAUUUCAUUUACAUUGAAAAGAUAUUAUGGUUAUAAUUAAUUUGU
Molecule: transfer RNA, 65 nt
Filed under: Protambulyx ockendeni
Lineage: Eukaryota; Metazoa; Arthropoda; Insecta; Lepidoptera; Sphingidae
Description: tRNA-Val
Source: RNAcentral